This 275-nucleotide ribosomal RNA is filed under the name uncultured Thermomonas sp. RNAcentral's name for it is "partial 16S ribosomal RNA". It matches the Rfam family "Bacterial small subunit ribosomal RNA", at positions 257 to 524 of the family's 1533-position model. The record is from RNAcentral. Lineage: Bacteria; Pseudomonadati; Pseudomonadota; Gammaproteobacteria; Lysobacterales; Lysobacteraceae.
GUAACGGCCCACCAAGGCGACGAUCGAUAGCUGGUCUGAGAGGAUGAUCAGCCACACUGGAACUGAGACACGGUCCAGACUCCUACGGGAGGCAGCAGUAGGGAAUAUUGGACAAUGGGCGCAAGCCUGAUCCAGCCAUGCCGCGUGAGUGAAGAAGGCCCUCGGGUUGUAAAGCUCUUUUGUUGGGGAAGAAAAGCAUCUGGUUAAUACCCGGGUGUUCUGACGGUACCCAAAGAAUAAGCACCGGCUAACUUCGUGCCAGCAGCCGCGGUAAU